Long non-coding RNA from Dreissena polymorpha, 3471 nucleotides. RefSeq lists it as uncharacterized. The transcript has 2 exons. The record is from RefSeq and is a predicted model, not a curated record. NCBI's taxonomy places the organism in Eukaryota, Metazoa, Mollusca, Bivalvia, Myida, Dreissenidae.
CGUGCUCGAAAAUGUUAAAGUUCUUAUUUCAUGGUAUAACUUUGGUAUGCUUGGACCUAGAGUCUUCAAACUUGACAUGAAGGUUGGCCAGGAUUAACAGAUGACCACUGGUCAUUUUAAGGUCAUUCAUUUGAAGGUGAAGGUCACUGUGACCUUCAAUAUAAAAAUGUUAAAGUUGUUAUAACUUUGGUAUGCUUGGACCUAGAGUCUUGAAACUUGACAUGAAGGUUGGCCAGAACUAGUAAGUAACCACUGGACAUUUCAAGGUCAUUCAUUUGAAGGUCAAGGUCACUGUGACCUUGAAUGUAAAAAUGUUAAAGUUGUUAUAACUUUGGUAUGCUUGGACCUAGAGUCUUGAAACUUGACAUGAAGGUUGGCCAGAACUAGUAAGUAACCACUGGACAUUUCAAGGUCAUUCAUUUGAAGGUCAAGGUCACUGUGACCUUGAAUGUAAAAAUGUUAAAGUUCUUAUUUCAUGUUAUAACUUUGGUAUGCUUGUACCUAGAGUCUUCAAACUUGAAAUAAAGAUUGGCCAGUACUAGAAGAUGACCACUGGUCAUUUCAAUGUCAUUCAUUUGAAGGUCAAGGUCACUGUGACCUUAAAUGUUAAAAUGUUAAAAUUGUUAUAACUUUGGUAUGCUUGGACAUAGAGUCUUCAAACUUGACAUGAAGGUUUGCAAGCACACUUAGAUGACCACUGGUCAUUUCAAGGUCAUUCAUUCUAAGGUCAAGGUCACUGUGACCUUGAAUGUAAAAAUGUUAAAGUUCUUAUAACUUUGGUAGGUAAAAAUGUUAAAUGUCAAUUCAAGUUCAUAUUUGUGACCUUAAAUGUUAUUGUUGUUCAUGUAUAUGCAUGCAUUCAAAACAUAACACAAGGUUUGCUCAUGCCUUGAAAAGUACUUCAUUUCAUUUUGACCUUUGAACAAUAUUUCAGUAAUUUAAGUAUUGCAUUGACAAAAACACGAAAGGUACUUUCCUGUCAUUUAAAUCAAAAAUCCGGCUUCAAUGCGGUCAUCUCCGACCGCGGAACUCUUGUUAUGUAUCAUAACCUAAGAAGUAAAUUCGCUAAAUUUCACUCAAAGUAUGGUGAUUUAAUUUCAAAAUAUAAUAUUUCUUUAAAAUGGUAUUUAACUAAUUGAAUUUCCCACCCAUCAGUUUAUGGAGAUGUUUUGAAGCGUGUUCGCAAAUUAAAAUAUCUUAAAGAAAAUGUUUAUAUUAAACUUUUCAAUUUAAUUAACUCAUUUUUGUCAAAAGUAUAUGAUGUUAACACAUGCUUGUUGGUUUUCGAUUCACUAUAUCUUUCUUCUCUUAAAAUUUGGAAUUGUUAAUGGAAUGACCAUUUUAUAUGUUUGAUUCGUAAAUAUUUAAUCCCCUAAGCUGGUUUUAUUGGUAAUUCAAUUUUACAGUACUACCCCUGGAUUUUUUUCAUGUUGUGUCAUCGCUUCUCAAUUGUGUCAUUCGAUACACUUUCACUGUUCUUGACUACAUUGAUUUUUUCGAUGUCAUCGCUUCUAUAUAUAUAUACGACACUGUCACUUUUUUAAUCUUCAUGCAUAGGUCAUUGGGUUUAUAGCGUUCAAUUGUAUUAUAUUUUUUUUCUCUGACUGGCGUUUCUUGUUUGAUUUAUUUUUUAGCAGUCACAUAAACAACCAAGCUAUGUAAUAUGAUUUGUUACACCCAUUAUUGCUGCUUCUUCCUGUAUUUGCGCGAUGAUGAUCUAAAAUGUUAAUUUUAUGAUGCUAUAUUCUUAAAUCUUUUUUUUAAAAGAAGGGAUGUAGUUGACACUUGUUCGUGGUUUCAUUUCAUCGUUCCUCAAAAAGUUGUAACUCUGUUGCUCUGGUCAUUUCCUACCAUUAAGUAAUUAAAUGGUAAUUAAAUUGAAUGCGUUUUAAUUCCCUUUUAUUAUUGUUUAAUUUGAGUUGCAAUUCUAUGAGGUUAAUGUUUUUUUACAAGUAAAUGUAUCAUGAAUAUUGCUGGGCCAAGUGUGAGGUUGAGGGCUCUAAAACCGGUUUAAACCCCCAAUGCUUUGCAUUUACCGUUCCAAGACGGUGACCCCAGCUUUAUCCUUAUAUGUGUUUAUGUUGUUUUGUAUUGUGCUGUUUUGUACUGUUUUGGCAUUUGGUCACUUGCCUUAGAUAAAGGACCAAUUAUUGUAUAUAAUGAGAAUGCAAUACUGCUCCAGCAGCUGGAGUUUCACUUUUUUAUAUUGUAUAUAUAACUUAAGUUAAGAUUUCAUUUACCCGGUAAGAGCUGUGUGAAAACUGGCCCAGGUGCAGUUCACUGUUCAUACAUUUCUGUGCUUGAUCUUUAGGUUAUUUGAUAGUGGUCAGCAUAUCUGAUAUGAGAACUAUUAAUGCCGACAUGUCUUUUAAUAUCUUAAUAUCAGUCCCUUAAUAUUUUAUUAAAUUUACGUUAGGAUGAUAAGUUCCACUUCAGUUUGAAUACAUAUACAUGUAUAUUUGUUGUUUUAUUUUCUUUUAGUUUUUUAUAAAGAUUUAAUUAAUUGUUAUUCUUGCUGAUUAUGUAAGGUUUGUGAUGAAACUGUUGAAGUUACAUAGUAAUCAUCAUACAUAUGAGUUUAUUAUGUACUCAAAUAAGGUCUUAAAUUUAACUAUAUAUAUAUAUAUUAAAACUUUAAACUUAAUUUCUUUUAUAUAUCAUAUCUACCUUUUGAAUAUGUUUGUGAUUUACAAUAAAGUGAUUAAACUUUCCUUGUACUUUAAAGAAUUUGUUGUAUAUUACAUUAAUUGCACACGUUUUAUGGGAACCACUUGAUUUAUUGUCUUAAAAAAUCCUAAUUUUAACAAACAUUAUCAUAAAUAAAACAUCUAUUUUGUUUUUAUUUGUGUUUUAAGAUAUUUACUUUUACCUAACCUUACUACAAACUAUAUGAUGCAUGUAUUUUUUGGUUUGAUUCAUGUUGGAUAUGCAUUCAUCUGCAUAUGAAGUAGACAAUUUGUAUGAGUAUUGAUACAUACUGCACAUAUUUGUUUGCUUUUCUUUUAAAACAAUUAAUUCUCCUUAAGAUUCUUUUACUUAACUUAGGAAAUUGUUGAUAUUGUUGGCAAUUUGAGGUGCAAUUAUGUCUGUGAUAGUGUAAAGGUGCUAUUACUUUGUUCUACAAUUGUUUUUGCCUGGUUGUGUUUGUAUUGUAUAGUUUAUACUCUCUUUUGAGCUAUUAAAUAUAUUAUCAUUGCUAGAAUUUGAAACCAGGUUUGAAAAUGAAAAAUGAUACACUAAUAUUCCGAAGAAAAGAUGAAAAAAGACACAUGUCUUAAAAAUUAUUUUAUCCAUCACAUUUUAUGAUUUGGCAUAAAUGAAACCAUUUUUUAAAAAUAUAUAUUUUGUCAAGCUAUUUCACUUGUUUUAUUGCCAUGUAUACUUUCAUUUUGGAAUAUGUGUCAUAUAAAAAUGUGCUUUAAAAUUGUUGUUUAUCCACCAUGAACAUGUCCAUUAAACAAAUUGUCCUGA